GUGUAGCAAAUAGACUUUAACAUAUAAUGAUUGCCAAAAAAUGGAGCUGUUCUGAUGGGAGACCAGUGGUUAUGCUUGAGUUUAAUACUCCCCAUGCUCUUGACUUUUUAUUUUUCUUUGUUACCUAGGCUGGAGUGCAGUGGCACUAUCUUAGCUCACUGCAACCUCUACCUCUCAGAUUCAGCCAUUGUCCCUAGGGACUGGAGAUGGAGUCUUGCUUUGUCACCAAGUCUGGAGUGCAAUGCCAUGAUCCAGGCUCACUAUAACUUCUGCCUCCUGAGUUCCAGCAACUCUCCUGCCUCAACCUUCCUAGUAGCUGGGAUUACAGGCAUGAGCCACCAUGCCUGGCUAAUUUUUUGUAUUUUUAGUAGAGACAGGGUUUCAUCAUGUUGGCCAGGCUGGUCUUGAACUCUUGUUCUCAAGUGAUCCACCUGCCUUGGCCUCCCAAAGUGUUGGGAUUACAGGAGUGAGCCACCGUGCCUGGCCACUCUACCCUCAAUACAACAGCUAGUACAAUCCUUUCACAGUGGAAUCAAGAUCAUAAUUACCUCUCUGUUCAAACUCUCCAGUGGCUUUGUUUUGUACAUGACCUGGCCCCUGCUACCUGUCUCACUGUUCUUUCUUCUACUCUCCUGCUCUUUCUCCUCUUUAUAAACACUGAGCUCAUGUUUCCUUUAGCAUGCUAGACAGGCUUGAUCCUGUCCUGUCUCUGGGCCUUGCUGUUUCCUCUGCCUGGAACAUUCUUCCCCUACUCUCUGCAUGGCUCACUCUCUCACUGCUUUGGAUUGUGGUUCAAAACUCACUUUAUCAAGGGCUUCCAGGCUGCACUGAGACUUUGCUCACUACCUGUGGAGCUCUGUCCUGCAGACCUUGUCUGAGCAAUGGAUGAAUGAAAUACUCUUUUACUUACAGAAUACAGUGCAAGAAUUGGGCUAAGGGAUCCUCAGCUGCUUUUAGAGGGUGAUUGCAGCUAAUUGACUACAACUCCUUGUUUCUUCUUGCAUUUAUUCAGUAUAGAUUUAAUAACAGGUUUUAAGUCAACAUAGUUGUGAAUAAUUAACGUGUAUAAUAGAGUGGAUUUAUGAAUCAUAAAAACCUUUGGUUCCAAGGCCCAGAAUAAACACCAUUAACUAGUAAUUCUUUUUUAACCUCCCCCGGGAGGGCCAUCUAGCACAAAGUUUAAAUGAGUAAACAGAGUAGAGACAAAGGAAUGUGGGGUAAACAGAUUUAACUGGGGAAGCUUUUAUUAUCUUAAUUUCCACCUUGUGACUUAAAGCUCUAAGAUAAGAACUGGCUGUCUUCAACCUGGCUCAUGAAAACAUUUUGGCUUUCCAAAAAGAUUUGAUACUGUAACCUAUAACUUCCCUAAUAUUUCCCUUAAUAGUUUGACAGCCACCCUGAGUGAAUCCCAACACUGCUCUGCAUAAAAUAUAUCCUUAAUUUAUAUUUUCUAUUUGAUGUCUGACUCCCCUCUGUCCUUCACUAAAAUGUAAACUCCAUAAGGGAAGGGAUUUUGUCUGUUUUGUUUUGUUGUAACCCUAAAUACCUAGAAGGUGCUCAGUGAAUACUUGUUGGUUGAAUCAAUAAAUCAGCCUAUUAUGGAAUCAGUCAAUGUCUUCUGUAGAAGGGACUUCUCCUACCAGUGGUGCAUAUCUGUGUGAUAGCUGGCGUAGGGAGGGAUGUGGUCGGAAUGGCUCUGUCUGUGUGGACUAGUUUUGCCUAGCAUGAUCCCAGCGGGCUCCUAUUGGGGCUAAGCCACAAUUUCAGUCAUAUUAGUAUCAUUCUUUAAUCAUAAAACCAGAGGAUGAAGAUUGGAAGUGAUCUGGGAGACUAUUC
This is a long non-coding RNA of Callithrix jacchus (white-tufted-ear marmoset), 1836 nucleotides long. The record is from Ensembl. NCBI's taxonomy places the organism in Eukaryota, Metazoa, Chordata, Mammalia, Primates, Cebidae.